Molecule: ribosomal RNA, 201 nt
Filed under: Priestia aryabhattai
Lineage: Bacteria; Bacillati; Bacillota; Bacilli; Caryophanales; Bacillaceae
Description: Bacillus aryabhattai partial 16S ribosomal RNA
Rfam family: Bacterial small subunit ribosomal RNA
Source: RNAcentral
AAUCGCGGAUCAGCAUGCCGCGGUGAAUACGUUCCCGGGCCUUGUACACACCGCCCGUCACACCACGAGAGUUUGUAACACCCGAAGUCGGUGGAGUAACCGUAAGGAGCUAGCCGCCUAAGGUGGGACAGAUGAUUGGGGUGAAGUCGUAACAAGGUAGCCGUAUCGGAAGGUGCGGCUGGAUCACCUCCUUUCUAAGGA